AACGAACGCUGGCGGCAGGCCUAACACAUGCAAGUCGAACGCUCCGCAAGGAGAGUGGCAGACGGGUGAGUAACACGUGGGAAUCUUCCUAUCGGUGGGGAAUAGCUCAGGGAAACUUGGGGUAAUACCGCAUACGCCCGUAAGGGGAAAGAUUUAUCGCCGAUAGAUGAGCCCGCGUCUGAUUAGCUAGUUGGUGGGGUAAUGGCCCACCAAGGCGACGAUCAGUAGCUGGUUUGAGAGAAUGACCAGCCACACUGGGACUGAGACACGGCCCAGACUCCUACGGGAGGCAGCAGUGGGGAAUCUUGGACAAUGGGCGCAAGCCUGAUCCAGCCAUGCCGCGUGAGUGACGAAGGUCUUCGGGUUGUAAAGCUCUUUUAGCAGGUACGAUAAUGACGGUACCUGCAGAAUAAGCCCCGGCUAACUUCGUGCCAGCAGCCGCGGUAA
Molecule: ribosomal RNA, 447 nt
Filed under: uncultured bacterium
Lineage: Bacteria
Description: partial 16S ribosomal RNA
Rfam family: Bacterial small subunit ribosomal RNA
Source: RNAcentral